This 18-nucleotide small RNA is filed under the name Arabidopsis thaliana (thale cress). RNAcentral describes it as "Ath_wt_19603". Lineage: Eukaryota; Viridiplantae; Streptophyta; Magnoliopsida; Brassicales; Brassicaceae. The record is from RNAcentral.
UUUGGAUUGAAGGGAGCU